RNAcentral lists this ribosomal RNA (1457 nucleotides) under uncultured Bordetella sp. RNAcentral's name for it is "partial 16S-23S ribosomal RNA intergenic spacer". It matches the Rfam family "Bacterial small subunit ribosomal RNA". Lineage: Bacteria; Pseudomonadati; Pseudomonadota; Betaproteobacteria; Burkholderiales; Alcaligenaceae. The record is from RNAcentral.
UUCGAUCGCGGCUCAGAUUGAACGCUGGCGGAUGCUUUACAUGCAAGUCGAACGGGCAGCACGGACUUCGGUCUGCGGCGAGUGGCGAACGGGUGAGUAAUGUAUCGGAACGUGCCUAGUAGCGGGGGAUAACUACGCGAAAGGUAGCUGGAUGCUGAUACGCCCUUCGGGGGAAAGCGGGGACCUUCACCUGCACUAUUAGAGCGGCCGACAUCGGAUUAGUUUGAAGGUGCAACACCAACCAAGGCGACGAUCCGUAGCCGGUUUGAGAGGACGACCAGCCACACUGGGACUGAGACACGGCCCAGACUCCCACGGAGGCAGCAGUGGGAAUUUUGGAGAGCAAUGGGGAAACCCUGACCUAAGCCAUCCCGGGCGUGUGCGAUGAAGGCCUUCGGGUUGUAAAGCAUUUUUGGCAGGAGAACGGCACGUGAUAAUGCCCUGUGCAACUGACGGUACCUGCAGAAUAAGCACCGUAGCUGUUCACUGUGCCAGCAGCCGCGGUAAUACGUAGGGUGCAAGCGUUAAUCGGAAUUACUGGCGGUGCUGCAGGCGGUUCGGAAAGAAAGAUGUGAAACUUGUGAGCUUAACUUUGGAACUGCAUUUUUAACUACUGAGCUAGAGUGUGUCAGAGGGAGGUGGAAUUCCGCGUGUGUAGCAGUGAAAUGCGUAGAUGGAGGAACACCGAUGGCGAAGGGCAGCCUCCUGGGAUAACACUGACGCUCAUGCACGAAAGCGUGUGGGGAGCAAACAGGAUUAGAUACCCUGUAGUCCACGCCCUAAACGAUGUCAACCAGCUGUUGGGGCCUCUGGGCCUGGUAGCGCAGCUAACGCGUGAAGUUGACCGCCUGGGGAGUACGGUCGCAAGAUUAAACUCAAAGGAAUUGACGGGGACCGCACAAGCUGUGAUGAUGUGAAUAACUGAUGCAACGCGAAAAACCUUACCUACCCUUGACAUGUCUGAACCUGGAAGAGAUUUGGGAGUGCUCGCAAAGAGGGAACCGGAACACAGGUGCUGCAUGGCUGUCAGCUCGUGUCGUGAGAUGUUGGGUUAAGUCCCGCAACGAGCGCAACCCUUGUCAUUAGUUGCUACGAGUGCACGACUGCCGGUGACAACCGGAGUGAAGCGCGGAUGACGUCAAGUCCUCAUGGCCCUUAUGGGUAGGGCUUUCACAUCGCCGUCAUACAAUGGUCGGGACAGAGGUCGCCAACCCGCGAGGGGGAGCCAAUCCCAGAAACCGAUCGUGUCCGAUCGUGUAGUUCGCAAACUCGACCGCGUGAAGUCGGAAUCGCUAGUAAUCGCGGAUCAGCAUGUCGCGGUGAAUACGUUCCCGGGUCUUGUACACCGCCCGUCACACCAUGGGAGUGGGUUUUACCAGAAGUAGUUAGCCUAACCGUGUAAGGAGUGGCGAUUACCACGGUAGGAUUCAUGACUGGGGUGAAGUCGUAACAAGGUA